GAUUACAGAAGUGUUGUGCUGGUUUUCGUUGGAGUGAAAAGGAAAAACAAUGCAUCAAAUGUCCGACUGGUCGUCAAGGGAUAGAUUGUUCAUCUAAUUGUCGAUAUCCAAAUUUCGGGGACGGUUGUCAAGAAUUAUGCGUUUGUGAUGAAAUAUUUUGUAAUGCAGAGACAGGCUGCACUAUUCCUACUACUGAUGCCGUAAGCAUUGGAAAUACCUCACAAAACAUCACAGAAAAUGAAAAGAGAACCUAUUUCUUUUCUGCGUGUCUUGCAGUUUCGUUAUUUGCUCUCCUUAUAGUUUUCCUACACUCUGCAUUUAAAAUCUCCAGAAAAAUAAAGCAUCGGGUAAUUGAGCAGCGGGAAAGUAUAGUUGAACGGGAAACCAAAAGAAAUCAGGAAUUUUCCGAAGUAAAUCAGAUCCAUAUAGACUAUUUAUCGUUGAGAGAAUUGUCUGCGGGGAUUACUAAUCCCUCAAUUGCAGACACAUUCACAACUGAUGGAUCGGAAUUUACUUACAUCGAUGUGAAUACUAAAAAAGAUAACUUUUACCAAAAUAACGUUUUCAAUCAUCUAGAGCGCAAUGAUACCGAUGAACCCAACUAAAUUAUUUCUACAACAAAUGGUUUUUGACUUUUUCUUCAGAGCCUGACGUAUUUGCAGAAGACUUAAGAAGCUAAACCAAAAUCCCAUCAAGAUAUAUAUGAAAAUUAAACAUAGAAAUUAUUUUUUGUGGCUUAUACCCUUUCAUCUACGAUUAGUUAAGAAAUAAUGUCUGCGUUGUCGUGAAUGUUACAGGAUAACCUCCGAGGUCGAAAAAUGUUGUCAAAAAUA
Saccostrea cuccullata (small rock oyster) is the source of this 833-nucleotide long non-coding RNA. RefSeq lists it as uncharacterized. NCBI's taxonomy places the organism in Eukaryota, Metazoa, Mollusca, Bivalvia, Ostreida, Ostreidae. The record is from RefSeq and is a predicted model, not a curated record. The transcript has 3 exons.